This is a long non-coding RNA of Monomorium pharaonis (pharaoh ant), 632 nucleotides long. RefSeq lists it as uncharacterized. The transcript has 2 exons. The record is from RefSeq and is a predicted model, not a curated record. NCBI's taxonomy places the organism in Eukaryota, Metazoa, Arthropoda, Insecta, Hymenoptera, Formicidae.
UGUGUUGCGUACCUGACUUCCCACGAAUUUUUACUACUCCAGACUCACAUUAACACAAGCAAAUCUGAGUAGUUACGCGAACGAAGCUUCCCCAUUAGGGAAUUUUGAUAUUCGAUUUUACCACGUAGAAAAAGUCAUUGGGCUGUAUCAGUUUCAGGAAUUGCGAUAUCUAAUAAAAAUAGACGACUUUCAUCUGACUAUUUCUUAUUAAAAGGUUUUACGAUCGGAAUUUGCACAUCAUGGGGCUCUGAAAAGUGCCGUUUUGUGUGUGUGUGUGUGGGGGGGGGGGGGUGUUUAACUCAAGGAUGACCCCGUGGCUCGUCAGUUCCACAGUAUUUUGCGAAUCCAAACCUUUCUUGGGUGUGUGCGCGCGCGUGUAUGUGUGCGUGUAUGUAAGCGCGAGAGUGUGUAAGCGUGAGUCUAUGCGUGAGAGAGAGAGAGAGAGAGACGAGCCAAGGGGUCCUUAUCCUUGAGAUAUCGCAAUUCCUGAAACUGAUACAGCCCAAUGACUUUUUCUACGUGGUAAAAUCGAAUAUCAAAAUUCCCUAAUGGGAAAGCUUCGUUCGCGUAACUACUCAGAUUUGCUUGUGUUAAUGUGAGUCUGGAGUAGUAAAAAUUCGUGGGAAGUCAGG